Molecule: ribosomal RNA, 496 nt
Filed under: uncultured bacterium
Lineage: Bacteria
Description: partial 16S ribosomal RNA
Rfam family: Bacterial small subunit ribosomal RNA
Source: RNAcentral
AUUGAACGCUGGCGGCAUGCUUUACACAUGCAAGUCGAACGGUAGAGGGGGCAACCCCUUGAGAGUGGCGAACGGGUGAGUAAUGCAUCGGAACGUGCCCAGUCGUGGGGGAUAACGCAGCGAAAGCUGUGCUAAUACCGCAUACGAUCUCUGGAUGAAAGCGGGGGACCGAAAGGCCUCGCGCGAUUGGAGCGGCCGAUGGCAGAUUAGGUAGUUGGUGGGGUAAAGGCUCACCAAGCCAACGAUCUGUAGCUGGUCUGAGAGGACGACCAGCCACACUGGGACUGAGACACGGCCCAGACUCCUACGGGAGGCAGCAGUGGGGAAUUUUGGACAAUGGGCGCAAGCCUGAUCCAGCAAUGCCGCGUGCAGGAAGAAGGCCUUCGGGUUGUAAACUGCUUUUGUACGGAACGAAAAGGUCUGGGUUGAUACCCUGGGCACAUGACGGUACCGUAAGAAUAAGCACCGGCUAACUACGUGCCAGCAGCCGCGGUAA